CUGGUUUUUAAGAGGUUUGAUCACAUUAAAUACACUGUAUUUUUGUAAUUCAAAUAGGCCCUUUAGUACCUAUGUAGGCAUUAUUAAAAUAAAAGUCUUUCCUUUACCCAUAACAAAUUUCCUUUUUGGUGAUCUCCACUUUUAUUAAUUAAACACACACACAUUACUAUUGUUUUAUGCAGCAAUGACAUUGUCUUGAGUAACUAUAUCUAUUGAAUAUAGAACAUUUAACAAGAGAAAUUAUGACAAUUUGGAAGAAUAUUCACUGCCCUUUAUCUUAGGAAAUCUUACACAAAUCUCACUGACUACUGGAAAGAUGUCACCUCCAUACAGGUUAUUGUAUGAGAUUCAACACAUUCUUGCUGAAGGUUAUGCCUGGAACCUUCUCUUCUGAUUUCUGGUGUGUUUCAAGCCAAAAUUUGUCUCAGGAACUUGCAGUAAGUAUUGUUGCUUAAGGUUGAAAUGUGUCCAGAAGAGGUAAUGAAUAAGAAACAGCCCUUUGUUUCCCCUUUUCACAUUAUGUUUUCUUCCUUCCUUCUUUCCUUCCUUUCUCCUUUCCUUCUUUUCUUUCUUCCUUCUUUCCUCUCUUUUUUGAAGAUACUCAAUUGGCUCACUCAGUACCCUUCAUAUCCACCCCAACAUUUCUACCAAUCUAUUCACUAGCUUAAGCCUUCUUGGUAGCAGAGAUAACAUUGUCUUGCAACUAUGACCUGCUGGACUAACAUUUCAAAUGCAAUUCUUAAAUCUUCCUAAGCUACUUAAAAAUUACAAACUCCCUCCUACCUCUCUGUUCCCUCAAUACAUUUUGAUUCAGUGAAGGUAAUCUCUUCACUGUUCCUUGAACAAAAUAAUACAUCUGGUCAUUUUCACUGACUAUUCCUCAUUCCUGGGACACUCUGCUUCUUAUUUGUCUCCUCUUCACUUACUUCUUGACUUCUCUGUGUUUCCCAAAUCUUACUUUAUAUAACUAGCCUUUCUCAAUUGCUCUUAAUCCUGGCAUCUUACUUCUUUGAUUAUUUCCUAUUUAACUCAUAUGAAACUUUUUCUGCACAUAUUUUCUUACAUGUUGUCACCCUAUUAGAUUGUUAUCUCCUUAAAGGCUGAUACUGUAUUUUAGAUUUUGCUUUUUUAAAUAUUUUCAGUGAUUUUCCCAUAAUCCCUGACCCAUAUUAGCACAGUGCCUGUCCCAUAUUAGGCAUUUAAUAAAUUCUUAAUGACAUUGAAUCUAUUGAACA
RNAcentral lists this long non-coding RNA (1235 nucleotides) under Monodelphis domestica (gray short-tailed opossum). RNAcentral describes it as "lncRNA (ENSMODG00000039595.1)". Lineage: Eukaryota; Metazoa; Chordata; Mammalia; Didelphimorphia; Didelphidae. The record is from RNAcentral.